Molecule: non-coding RNA, 203 nt
Organism: Pelobates cultripes (western spadefoot toad)
Lineage: Eukaryota; Metazoa; Chordata; Amphibia; Anura; Pelobatidae
Source: the annotation of a GenBank genome assembly
CUGUGCCUCACAUGGAAGAUCCCAAGCUUUUGACCCUCUAUAGCCACCACACUUCAUAAGCAAGCCUCACGGCACACAGACACUGAUUCUUAUCUAGCUGGCGGGGAGUUAACCUGGGGUGGAUAAAUGAACGCAUGUUUUAAGCUUUUACCUAUCGAUAUACUAAACUAACCGGUGUGACCAUUUGCUUUAGUUAAAGUAGC